UGGUGCGAUCAUACCAGCACUAAUGCACCAGAUCCCAUCAGAGCUCCGCAGGUAAGUGUGCUUGGGCGAGAGUAGUACUAGGAUGGGUGACCUCCUGGGAAGUCCUUGUGUUGCACCUC
Ribosomal RNA from Lupinus angustifolius (narrow-leaved blue lupine), 119 nucleotides. The record is from Rfam. Lineage: Eukaryota; Viridiplantae; Streptophyta; Magnoliopsida; Fabales; Fabaceae.